RNAcentral lists this ribosomal RNA (222 nucleotides) under Triticum aestivum (bread wheat). RNAcentral's name for it is "partial small subunit ribosomal RNA". Lineage: Eukaryota; Viridiplantae; Streptophyta; Magnoliopsida; Poales; Poaceae. The record is from RNAcentral.
AUGCUCUGGACAUCAGCCCUUGCAGAUUUGGCUCUGACUCAUCCCAUCAGGCUUGGGCUUGCGCUCAACUUUUCUGGGUUCUACUAUGAGACCUCGAACUCCCCUGACCAAGCCUGCAACCUUGCAAAACAGAUCUACCUUCUUGGCUCGGGGGUGUCACGGGCUACGCACGCCUCCCCCCUUGAUGGCGGUGUCAAAUUAGUACAAACACGUGGGGAGUGA